RNAcentral lists this long non-coding RNA (335 nucleotides) under Erythranthe guttata (spotted monkey flower). Its description in RNAcentral is "long non-coding RNA (EGUT_LNC002515)". The record is from RNAcentral. Lineage: Eukaryota; Viridiplantae; Streptophyta; Magnoliopsida; Lamiales; Phrymaceae.
UGUUAGAGAAUAUUAUAUUAUAGAAUUCUCCUAAUAUUAGGAUUCUAGUAUGAUUCGGUUACCUAGAUUAGUUAGGAUUUAGUUACCUAGUCAAACUCUAUUACCUUGCAAUAUUUCUCUAUAUAUAUUCCAUGUAAUCAACCCAUAACAUAAUGGGGGUUUCUAUUCUACAUAUUAUUAUUUCUCUUCUUCUCUAUUCUUCCUAUAUGGUAUCAGAGCACCAGGUUUAGGUUUUUUUUAACCUAGCCGCCUUCCUUCUCCAUGGCGGUGAAAACCUAGCCGCCUUUCUUCUCCAUGGCGGUGACCACCCGAUUUUCUCCCUCCCCCGGUGGUGG